This 3013-nucleotide ribosomal RNA is filed under the name Salmonella enterica subsp. enterica serovar Muenchen. RNAcentral describes it as "23S ribosomal RNA". It matches the Rfam family "Bacterial large subunit ribosomal RNA". RNAcentral also lists the same sequence under 1 other name. The record is from RNAcentral. Lineage: Bacteria; Pseudomonadati; Pseudomonadota; Gammaproteobacteria; Enterobacterales; Enterobacteriaceae.
GGGUUGUGAGGUUAAGCGACUAAGCGUACACGGUGGAUGCCCUGGCAGUCAGAGGCGAUGAAGGACGUGCUAAUCUGCGAUAAGCGCCGGUAAGGUGAUAUGAACCGUUAUAACCGGCGAUUUCCGAAUGGGGAAACCCAGUGUGAUUCGUCACACUAUCAUUAACUGAAUCCAUAGGUUAAUGAGGCGAACCGGGGGAACUGAAACAUCUAAGUACCCCGAGGAAAAGAAAUCAACCGAGAUUCCCCCAGUAGCGGCGAGCGAACGGGGAGGAGCCCAGAGCCUGAAUCAGCAUGUGUGUUAGUGGAAGCGUCUGGAAAGGCGCGCGAUACAGGGUGACAGCCCCGUACACAAAAGCGCAUGUGCUGUGAGCUCGAUGAGUAGGGCGGGACACGUGGUAUCCUGUCUGAAUAUGGGGGGACCAUCCUCCAAGGCUAAAUACUCCUGACUGACCGAUAGUGAACCAGUACCGUGAGGGAAAGGCGAAAAGAACCCCGGCGAGGGGAGUGAAAAAGAACCUGAAACCGUGUACGUACAAGCAGUGGGAGCACAGGUUUACCUGUGUGACUGCGUACCUUUUGUAUAAUGGGUCAGCGACUUAUAUUCUGUAGCAAGGUUAACCGAAUAGGGGAGCCGGAGGGAAACCGAGUCUUAACCGGGCGUUAAGUUGCAGGGUAUAGACCCGAAACCCGGUGAUCUAGCCAUGGGCAGGUUGAAGGUUGGGUAACACUAACUGGAGGACCGAACCGACUAAUGUUGAAAAAUUAGCGGAUGACCUGUGGCUGGGGGUGAAAGGCCAAUCAAACCGGGAGAUAGCUGGUUCUCCCCGAAAGCUAUUUAGGUAGCGCCUCGUGAAUUCAUCUCCGGGGGUAGAGCACUGUUUCGGCUAGGGGGCCAUCCCGGCUUACCAACCCGAUGCAAACUGCGAAUACCGGAGAAUGUUAUCACGGGAGACACACGGCGGGUGCUAACGUCCGUCGUGAAGAGGGAAACAACCCAGACCGCCAGCUAAGGUCCCAAAGUCAUGGUUAAGUGGGAAACGAUGUGGGAAGGCCCAGACAGCCAGGAUGUUGGCUUAGAAGCAGCCAUCAUUUAAAGAAAGCGUAAUAGCUCACUGGUCGAGUCGGCCUGCGCGGAAGAUGUAACGGGGCUAAACCAUGCACCGAAGCUGCGGCAGCGAACGUAUCACCCAAGACAACUUUACGGAGUUGACGAUUGACGGAGCGAAGCGACGUCAAAGCGUUCAUUAAAGUCGAGUUGGCUUAGGGAUACGUUCGUUGGGUAGGGGAGCGUUCUGUAAGCCUGUGAAGGUGGCCUGUGAGGGUUGCUGGAGGUAUCAGAAGUGCGAAUGCUGACAUAAGUAACGAUAAAGCGGGUGAAAAGCCCGCUCGCCGGAAGACCAAGGGUUCCUGUCCAACGUUAAUCGGGGCAGGGUGAGUCGACCCCUAAGGCGAGGCCGAAAGGCGUAGUCGAUGGGAAACGGGUUAAUAUUCCCGUACUUGGUGUUACUGCGAAGGGGGGACGGAGAAGGCUAUGUUGGCCGGGCGACGGUUGUCCCGGUUUAAGCGUGUAGGUGUGUGUUCCAGGUAAAUCCGGUUCACUUUAACACUGAGGCGUGAUGACGAGGCACUACGGUGCUGAAGCAACAAAUGCCCUGCUUCCAGGAAAAGCCUCUAAGCAUCAGGUAACAUCAAAUCGUACCCCAAACCGACACAGGUGGUCAGGUAGAGAAUACCAAGGCGCUUGAGAGAACUCGGGUGAAGGAACUAGGCAAAAUGGUGCCGUAACUUCGGGAGAAGGCACGCUGACACGUAGGUGAAGUGAUUUACUCACGGAGCUGAAGUCAGUCGAAGAUACCAGCUGGCUGCAACUGUUUAUUAAAAACACAGCACUGUGCAAACACGAAAGUGGACGUAUACGGUGUGACGCCUGCCCGGUGCCGGAAGGUUAAUUGAUGGGGUCAGCGCAAGCGAAGCUCCUGAUCGAAGCCCCGGUAAACGGCGGCCGUAACUAUAACGGUCCUAAGGUAGCGAAAUUCCUUGUCGGGUAAGUUCCGACCUGCACGAAUGGCGUAAUGAUGGCCAGGCUGUCUCCACCCGAGACUCAGUGAAAUUGAACUCGCUGUGAAGAUGCAGUGUACCCGCGGCAAGACGGAAAGACCCCGUGAACCUUUACUAUAGCUUGACACUGAACAUUGAGCCUUGAUGUGUAGGAUAGGUGGGAGGCUUUGAAGUGUGGACGCCAGUCUGCAUGGAGCCGACCUUGAAAUACCACCCUUUAAUGUUUGAUGUUCUAACGUGGACCCGUAAUCCGGGUUGCGGACAGUGUCUGGUGGGUAGUUUGACUGGGGCGGUCUCCUCCUAAAGAGUAACGGAGGAGCACGAAGGUUGGCUAAUCCUGGUCGGACAUCAGGAGGUUAGUGCAAUGGCAUAAGCCAGCUUGACUGCGAGCGUGACGGCGCGAGCAGGUGCGAAAGCAGGUCAUAGUGAUCCGGUGGUUCUGAAUGGAAGGGCCAUCGCUCAACGGAUAAAAGGUACUCCGGGGAUAACAGGCUGAUACCGCCCAAGAGUUCAUAUCGACGGCGGUGUUUGGCACCUCGAUGUCGGCUCAUCACAUCCUGGGGCUGAAGUAGGUCCCAAGGGUAUGGCUGUUCGCCAUUUAAAGUGGUACGCGAGCUGGGUUUAGAACGUCGUGAGACAGUUCGGUCCCUAUCUGCCGUGGGCGCUGGAGAACUGAGGGGGGCUGCUCCUAGUACGAGAGGACCGGAGUGGACGCAUCACUGGUGUUCGGGUUGUCAUGCCAAUGGCACUGCCCGGUAGCUAAAUGCGGAAGAGAUAAGUGCUGAAAGCAUCUAAGCACGAAACUUGCCCCGAGAUGAGUUCUCCCUGAGACUUAGAGUCUCCUGAAGGAACGUUGAAGACGACGACGUUGAUAGGCCGGGUGUGUAAGCGCAGCGAUGCGUUGAGCUAACCGGUACUAAUGAACCGUGAGGCUUAACCUUACAACGCCGAAG